Non-coding RNA from Acanthosepion pharaonis, 99 nucleotides. NCBI's taxonomy places the organism in Eukaryota, Metazoa, Mollusca, Cephalopoda, Sepiida, Sepiidae. The record is from the annotation of a GenBank genome assembly.
UCGAAACACCUGUUCUCGUAAGAUCACUGAAGUUAAGCAACGUUGAGAAUGGUAAAUACGUAGAUGAGUAACCGUUUAGGAAUACCUGGUGAUGCAAGC